This 398-nucleotide ribosomal RNA is filed under the name uncultured bacterium. RNAcentral describes it as "partial 16S ribosomal RNA". It matches the Rfam family "Bacterial small subunit ribosomal RNA", at positions 523 to 918 of the family's 1533-position model. The record is from RNAcentral.
AUACGUAGGGUGCGAGCGUUGUCCGGAAUUACUGGGCGUAAAGAGCUCGUAGGUGGUUUGUCGCGUCGUCUGUGAAAUUCCGGGGCUUAACUCCGGGCGUGCAGGCGAUACGGGCAUAACUUGAGUACUGUAGGGGAGACUGGAAUUCCUGGUGUAGUGGUGACAUGCGCAGACAUCAGGAGGAACACCGGUGGCGAAGGGGGGUCUCUGGGCAGUAACUGACGCUGAGGAGCGAAAGCAUGGGUAGCGAACAGGAUUAGAUACCCUGGUAGUCCAUGCCGUAAACGGUGGGCGCUAGGUGUAGGGGUCUUCCACGACUUCUGUGCCGUAGCUAACGCAUUAAGCGCCCCGCCUGGGGAGUACGGCCGCAAGGCUAAAACUCAAAGGAAUUGGCGGGG